This 228-nucleotide RNase P RNA is filed under the name Veillonella parvula. Its description in RNAcentral is "partial RNase P RNA component class A". It matches the Rfam family "Bacterial RNase P class A", at positions 1 to 243 of the family's 367-position model. From Rfam's summary of the family: Ribonuclease P (RNase P) is a ubiquitous endoribonuclease, found in archaea, bacteria and eukarya as well as chloroplasts and mitochondria. Its best characterised activity is the generation of mature 5'-ends of tRNAs by cleaving the 5'-leader elements of precursor-tRNAs. Cellular RNase Ps are ribonucleoproteins. Lineage: Bacteria; Bacillati; Bacillota; Negativicutes; Veillonellales; Veillonellaceae. The record is from RNAcentral. RNAcentral also lists the same sequence under 1 other name.
CAAGUAUGAAAGACGGUUGCGAGUCUAUAAGACUCGAGGAAAGUCCGAGCUCCAUAGGGCAGGAUGCCAGAUAACGUCUGGCGAGGGUAACCUUAGGGAAAGUGCCAUAGAAAAGGAAACCGCCACGUAAGUGGUAAGGGUGGAAAGGUGAGGUAAGAGCUCACCAGCAGUCUGGUAACAGGCUGGCUCGGUAAACCCCAUCCGGAGCAAGACCGAAUAGGGAAGGGU